RNAcentral lists this ribosomal RNA (245 nucleotides) under Catenulispora pinistramenti. RNAcentral's name for it is "Catenulispora sp. NL8 partial 16S ribosomal RNA". It matches the Rfam family "Bacterial small subunit ribosomal RNA", at positions 1293 to 1533 of the family's 1533-position model. The record is from RNAcentral. Lineage: Bacteria; Bacillati; Actinomycetota; Actinomycetes; Catenulisporales; Catenulisporaceae.
UCGGAUCGGGGUCUGCAACUCGACCCCGUGAAGUCGGAGUCGCUAGUAAUCGCAGAUCAGCAACGCUGCGGUGAAUACGUUCCCGGGCCUUGUACACACCGCCCGUCACGUCACGAAAGUCGGUAACACCCGAAGCCGGUGGCCUAACCCCUUGUGGGAGGGAGCCGUCGAAGGUGGGACCGGCGAUUGGGACGAAGUCGUAACAAGGUAGCCGUACCGGAAGGUGCGGCUGGAUCACCUCCUUU